UUUAAUAUGGCAGAGUAAAAUGCACUGGACCUAAGCUCCAUUAACAAGGUUAUCCUUUAUU
This 61-nucleotide transfer RNA is filed under the name Hutchinsoniella macracantha. Its description in RNAcentral is "tRNA-Leu". The record is from RNAcentral. Lineage: Eukaryota; Metazoa; Arthropoda; Cephalocarida; Brachypoda; Hutchinsoniellidae.